This 857-nucleotide ribosomal RNA is filed under the name uncultured bacterium. RNAcentral's name for it is "bacterial SSU rRNA". It matches the Rfam family "Bacterial small subunit ribosomal RNA", at positions 21 to 902 of the family's 1533-position model. The record is from RNAcentral.
GGCUCAGGACGAACGCUAGCGGCGUGCCUAAUGUAUGCAAGUCGAGCGGGAGCCUUCGGGCUCUAGCGGCGAACGGUUGAGUAACACGUAGACUACCUGCCUCCGAGUGGGGGAUAACAGCUCGAAAGGGCUGCUAAUACCGCAUACGGUGCUUCGAAGCCUUUCGGAGUGACCAAAGGAGCAAUUCGCUGGGAGAUGGGUCUGCGGCCUAUCAGCUAGUUGGUGGGGUAACGGCCUACCAAGGCGACGACGGGUAGCUGGUCUGAGAGGAUGAUCAGCCAGACGGGGACUGAGACACGGCCCCGACUCCUCCGGGAGGCAGCAAUGAGGGAUAUUGCACAAUGGGGGAAACCCUGAUGCAGCGACGCCGCGUGGGUGAGGAAGUCCUUCGGGAUGUAAAGCCCUUUUCUCGGGGACGAUACCAGACGGUACCCGAGGAAUAAGCCCCGGCUAACUACGUGCCAGCAGCCGCGGUAAUACGUAGGGGGCAAGCGUUGUCCGGAUUUACUGGGCGUAAAGCGCGCGUAGGCGGAACGUUAAGUCCGGUUUGAAAGCCCCCGGCUCAACCGGGGAGAGUGGCUGGAAACUGGCGUUCUGGAGGGCGAUAGAGGAGAGUGGAAUUCCUGGUGUAGCGGUGAAAUGCGUAGAUAUCAGGAGGAACACCCGUGGCGAAGGCGGCUCUCUGGAUCGACCCUGACGCUGAGGCGCGAAAGCGUGGGGAGCGAACGGGAUUAGAUACCCCGGUAGUCCACGCCGUAAACGAUGGUCACUAGGUGUGUGCGGUAUCGACCCCGCACGUGCCGCAGCUAACGCAAUAAGUGACCCGCCUGGGGAGUACGGCCACAAGGUUGAAACUC